GACAGAGGUGCCAAGCGUUAGGCGGAAUCACUGGGCUUAAAGCGUGUGUAGGCGGAUGCCUAAGUACCUUGUGAAAUCCCACGGCUCACCCGUGGAACUGCUGGGUAUACUGGGUGUCUUGAGCCAACUAGGGGUCGCCGGAACAAGUGGUGGAGCGGUGAAAUGCGUAGAUAUCGUAAGGAAGACCAGUGGCGAAGGCGAAUCUCUGGACAGUUACUGACACUGAGGCACGAAGGCCAGGGGAGCAAACGGG
Molecule: ribosomal RNA, 253 nt
Filed under: uncultured bacterium
Lineage: Bacteria
Description: partial 16S ribosomal RNA
Rfam family: Bacterial small subunit ribosomal RNA
Source: RNAcentral